RNAcentral lists this ribosomal RNA (468 nucleotides) under uncultured bacterium. RNAcentral's name for it is "partial 16S ribosomal RNA". It matches the Rfam family "Bacterial small subunit ribosomal RNA", at positions 28 to 507 of the family's 1533-position model. The record is from RNAcentral.
GACGAACGCUGGCGGCGUGCUUAACACAUGCCAGUCGAACGGAAAGGCCCUGCUUUUGUGGGGUGCUCGAGUGGCGAACGGGUGAGUAACACGUGAGUAACCUGCACUUGACUUUGGGGUAACUUAAGGCAACUGGGGCUCAUACCGGAUAGGAGCUCCUGCUGCAUGGUGGGGGUUGGAAAGUUUCGGCGGUUGGGGAUGGACUCGCGGCUUAUCAGCUUGUUGGUGGGGUAGUGGCUUACCAAGGCUUUGACGGGUAGCCGGGCUGGGAGGGUGACCUGCCACAUUAGGACUGAGAUACGGCACAGACUCCUACGGGAGGCAGCAGUGGGGAAUAUUGCACAAUGGGCGGAAGCCUGAUGUAGCAACGCCGCGUGCGGGAAGACGGCCAUCGGGUUGUAAACCGCUGUCGCCUGUGACGAAGCGUGAGUGACGGUAAUGGGUAAAGAAGCUCCGGCUAACUACGUG